Molecule: ribosomal RNA, 301 nt
Filed under: uncultured bacterium
Lineage: Bacteria
Description: partial 16S ribosomal RNA
Rfam family: Bacterial small subunit ribosomal RNA
Source: RNAcentral
CAGUCGCCACGGUAAUACAGAGGGUGCAAGCGUUAAUCGGAUUUACUGGGCGUAAAGGGCGCGUAGGUGGUUAUUUAAGUGAGAUGUGAAAGCCCCGGGCUUAACCUGGGAACUGCAUCUUAUACUGGGUAACUGGAGUGCAGUAGAGGGUAGUGGAAUUUCCGGUGUAGCGGUGAAAUGCGUAGAGAUCGGGAGGAACAUCAGUGGCGAAGGCGGCCAUCUGGGACAACACUGACGCUGAAGCACGAAAGCGUGGGGAGCAAACAGGAUUAGAUACCCCCGUAGUCCCUGUCUCUUAUAC